RNAcentral lists this ribosomal RNA (44 nucleotides) under Cryptocercus clevelandi. RNAcentral's name for it is "partial 5.8S ribosomal RNA". The record is from RNAcentral. Lineage: Eukaryota; Metazoa; Arthropoda; Insecta; Blattodea; Cryptocercidae.
AUGCUUAAAUUUAGGGGGUAGUCUAGCCUGAUCUGAGGUCGGAU